RNAcentral lists this ribosomal RNA (253 nucleotides) under uncultured bacterium. RNAcentral describes it as "partial 16S ribosomal RNA". It matches the Rfam family "Bacterial small subunit ribosomal RNA", at positions 524 to 776 of the family's 1533-position model. The record is from RNAcentral.
CACGUAGGAUCCAAGCGUUAUCCGGAUUUACUGGGCGUAAAGCGCGUGUAGGUGGUUUGCUAAGUUGGGUGUUAAAUCUCUCAGCUCAACUGAGAGGUGUCGCUCAAAACUAGCAGACUGGAGGAUGGUAGAGGAUGGCGGAAUUCCGGGUGUAGUGGUGAAAUGCGUAGAUAUCCGGAGGAACACCAGUGGCGAAGGCGGCCAUCUGGCCCAUUCCUGACACUCAAACGCGAAAGCUAGGGGAGCAAACGGG